GACGAACGCUGGCGGCGUGCUUAACACAUGCAAGUCGAACGGUAAGGCCCUUCGGGGUACACGAGUGGCGAACGGGUGAGUAACACGUGGGUGAUCCGCCCUGCACUUCGGGAUAAGCCUGGGAAACUGGGUCUAAUACCGGAUAGGACCACUGCCUGCAUGGGUGGUGUUGGAAAGCUUUUGCGGUGUGGGAUGGGCCCGCGGCCUAUCAGCUUGUUGGUGGGGUGAUGGCCUACCAAGGGGACGACGGGGAGCCGGCCUGAGAGGGUGACCGGCCGACAUGGGACUGAGAUACGGCCCAGACUCCUACGGGAGGCAGCAGUGGGGAAUAUUGCACAAUGGGCGCAAGGCUGAUGCAGCGACGCCGCGUGAGGGAUGACGGCCUUCGGGUUGUAAACCUCUUUCAGCACCGACGAAGCGCAAGUGACGGUAGGUGCAGAAGAAGGACCGGCCAACUACGUGCCAGCAGUCGCGGUAA
Molecule: ribosomal RNA, 478 nt
Filed under: uncultured bacterium
Lineage: Bacteria
Description: partial 16S ribosomal RNA
Rfam family: Bacterial small subunit ribosomal RNA
Source: RNAcentral